UAAAAGAGCCACAAGGUCAUUUUGCUCAU
This 29-nucleotide non-coding RNA is filed under the name Mus musculus (house mouse). Lineage: Eukaryota; Metazoa; Chordata; Mammalia; Rodentia; Muridae. The record is from RNAcentral.